CAGAGGGUGCAAGCGUUGUUCGGAAUUAUUGGGCGUAAAGGGCGCGUAGGCGGUGCGGUAAGUCUUUUGUGAAAUCUCCGGGCUCAACUCGGAGUCUGCAGGAGAAACUGCCGUGCUUGAGUAUGGGAGAGGUGAGUGGAAUUCCUGGUGUAGCGGUGAAAUGCGUAGAUAUCAGGAGGAACACCUGUGGCGAAAGCGGCUCACUGGACCAUUACUGACGCUGAGGCGCGAAAGCUAGGGGAGCAAACAGGAUUAGAUACCCUGGUAGUCCUAGCCCUAAACGAUGAUUGCUUGGUGUGGCAGGUACCCAAUCCUGCUGUGCCGAAGCUAACGCGAUAAGCAAUCCGCCUGGGGAGUACGGUCGCAAGGCUG
RNAcentral lists this ribosomal RNA (372 nucleotides) under uncultured organism. RNAcentral's name for it is "bacterial SSU rRNA". It matches the Rfam family "Bacterial small subunit ribosomal RNA", at positions 526 to 896 of the family's 1533-position model. The record is from RNAcentral.